Molecule: long non-coding RNA, 3448 nt
Organism: Pezoporus occidentalis (night parrot)
Lineage: Eukaryota; Metazoa; Chordata; Aves; Psittaciformes; Psittacidae
Exons: 2
Source: RefSeq, a predicted model, not a curated record
GAGUGCUUCACAGUUCUGGUAAUUUUACUCAUACAUUUGAAGGACUAUUGAGCUAAUUGUUUUGUAAGAAAGAAAUAGCUUCCAAAUUAUGGAGUUAUUUUUUUCAUCUGUGAGUGGAAUUUUCUUUUGCUUGUCUGAACAUGUGCUCUAACAGUUCAGAAAUUGUUCUAAUGGAACCCUCUAACGGGGGGGGGGGGGGGAUAUGUCGUCUUUAAAGUUGAGCUGCCUAAAGAAACUAAUCAUCCCCUUGAGACUGGGAAAGGAUAUCUGCCAUGGUAUUCUUGGUUUGGAAAUAAAGUAUGGGUGAAGAAAGAGCUUUAGACAUGUUCUGCUUUGCUCAAGAGUCUCGUCAACUGCUCCCUGUAGAAUUAGGCAUAUAGUUUAAGAUUUGGGAGAGUUUUACUUGCAGAUCUUUUGGUGUCUGUAAGCCUGUCAUGCGAGAAGAACAGUAUGUUUUUCUACAGGAUAAAAUUAGGUGAGAAUUCUGAAUAGCAUCAGAGAGUUACACUUACUCAUUGAUUACACAGCAAUGUGUGUAGAUUUACAAGUGGUUUAUGAAAUAUUUUCUGAUGGGUGGUUUGAAUGACUUGAUCUAUAGUUUAGAUAAUGGCUUAAGAACAGGAUUAGGGGCACUAGAGUUACAAAUCUAAAUUUGUUUUGAGUCUCAUAGUGAGAGAAGCUAGAAUGAGUUUUUUUUUAAUUGUAUUGAUAAUAUUCUGAUGCUUAAUAAUUCAUAAGAUGGUUCAGUCAUAUGCAAUGUAAUUCUAUGAAAUCCAGAAUUAAAGGGAUUUUUGUAGUUGGGCUUCUAAAUGUUGCAAGGUCUUCCUAGUAUUCAGUGGGUUUUCAUUAUGAUAUUGACCUUUUUACUCCUUGAGCUUUCUAAAAUCAUGUUUGAAACAAUACUAAUUUCUUAAAGAUGUACUUCUGCAAGCCUUGAUUUCUUAUUGCAGAUGCUCUGCCACACUUAUAUGGAUUAUGGGUAUGAAAGGGCAGAUGCGUGGAAGUUUUUGAACAGUAUUGCACUUUGAAAGUCUGUAAGUACAAGUAUAAAAUCUCUCUUCUUUCAGCAAGGCAGAACACUGCUUUAUUCACAGGGCUUUGACUUCCUUCAUGUGACUGAUGAGAGCUGCUGAAGUACAGCAUUAUUUUGAAAACUCAAGUCCACUGCUUGGCUUUGAUUCCAAGGUCUCCUUUUCAUUGUCUAGCAGAUUUGUAGCCCUGGAGUUGGCAACUAGCUAAUGGCUCUAUGCAAGCAGCUGAGAUUCAGCUAGCAAGGCACUUCAAAUGUCUAGUCUCAUUGGAUGUCUGUCUAUGCUGAUAAAAUUACAUGUUUCUGGGAAGACAAGGGAGAAAAGAUAGAAGUGGUGAAGACAGCAGAUUCCUACUUGGUUGUCCAAUUAUACUUCUGUAGAAUAUGCCCAAGAAUUACUUUCUGUAUCCUCAACUUCACCUUAUUUUGUGGUUUAUGUUUGUACUUAACACUAAAGCGGAAUAUUAUCUCCUUAAGGACAGGGAAUUUUUUUCCAAACUGAAUCUGUGGAAAUACUCCACUAUUUGAUCUGCUAAAGCAUGUUGGCAGAAAAGCAGUUAAUCUGCUAACACCAGGUAUGUCAUUUAGGUGAGUAGGAGCCUGGAGUUCCCAUCCUGCGUAUGGAAACUGGAGGAUGUGACUCAGAACAUGAGAACCUGAGAUCUUCGGUUGGUAUUGGCUGGGCUUCCGCACCAGUUCUCCCGAGUUUUGUGCAUUUCUUCCAUUUAGAACUCUCUGUUCAUUUGUGGAUACAGUGGGUGUAAAUGUUUUGGGUUUAGGUUCUUUGUUAGGUUAUUUUUUUUUUUAGAAGAGGAAGUAUGUUAAAGCAGCAUACUUGAAUUUCUGCAGAGAUUAAAAGUACAUUCUCUUGCUACAGUCAAAUGAAAGUAACUGAAGAAUUUGAGUGCAAACACCUCCUCUGUGCUAUUCCUGUGCUUGAAAGAAAUCCCACUGUAAAUGACUGCAAGUGCAAGUCAUCUUGAUCUGAAAAAAGCAACCCAAAGGACGGGGUGGGCAUGGGCAGGUGUGAUACCAACUCUGUAGUUGGCCAGAAGUAAACUCAUGUGGCCAGUGUUAGUGAAGACCAAUCCUUUGUCAUACAAACCCAAUAUAUGCCAUGUCUGGGUGUUAUGUCUUUGCCUGCCCUGUUCAUCUCCCAGUUUUGGGUACAUGGAGCAUCCUAGUGCAAAGCCUGUCCUUGCAUCCUUGGGGCAUGUGUUGUAUCACAGCAGUGGCCUGAGUCUUCAGCUUUGAGGGCCAAAGCAGGGCUUUGGUGCAGCUCAGUGUGUUCAUAAAGGAGCUUCUUUGGAAAAGCAGGAUGUAUGUGUCUCUGUGCCAAAAGUAAGGUCUCUUUUGGGGAAAGUAUAUAAUUGGAACCAAUGAUACUUUUGUGUUUGAAAUAGCACUCUGUGUCUGAAUGAACUCCUCCAUUCAAAUCUUCAAGUAACUUAAAAAGCCUCACUUCUGAUACCCCACUUAAAAGGGUGGGUUUUUUUUCCUUUUUUUAACUUUCCUUUGUACAGAUACUUGAAACCUCCUGCAGAAAAUGCCAAUUUAUUUUCAGUAUGUAUAUUUUUGAAGCAUGAGUUCCUUAGUGAGUUCUGCAGGUCUUUGAAACAAAAGCAGCUAUAAAGACAUCUGAAUAAAACAAUUUGCAUAGCAAUAGCAGCCCAGUUUUGAUGUAUGUGCUAAAACAAAUGGAAACCCUCAGCCAUUAGUGGCUGAUUAGCAAUGCUACAUCCCAUCCCAUCAAACAUCCCAUUUGCUAUGGACACUUUUAAAAGUCUUAUGUAGUCUAUGUUUUUCCACAAGAUAAGUAAAUCACAUGGACUACGGAAUCUUCUGGAACCAUACUGCUUUUGGGUUAGUCAUGUUGCUUGCAGUAUGGUUAGGCAGGCAUGAGCCAGCUAGCAUUAAAGCAGCAGAUAAACCUGUCAUUUAAGAACAGACACACACAAAGUGUGAGCUGCAGCCAUAUGUGAAACAAACGUAUUUACAGUAUCAGUCGUGACUCUCUCUUUGCUCUUGUCAAGCUGAGUACUGUGGUGCAUCGCGUGCUCUGGAGGAUGCAAAUGGAGAGGUCCUAGCUGGGGUAAGCGGUUAGAACAAGGCACUGAAAGUUGACAGUGCUGGAAUUUGGGGAGAUACAGGAUUUCUGAUAGAGUUACAAGUAAAAGACCUUUUUGUUUCAGCUGGUACUUAGCGUCAGGCAUAAGGGGUCCACUUGCAUCUCUGUGUGCCUAAAUUUGUAUUAUAAUAUGUCUUACGAAUUUUUAGAAUGGCAUUGCCUAACGCACUGCUAAACAUUUGAAUACGUUUAGCUAAACAUCUUUUGUAUCUUUUGUGAUACUGACGCACCUCUUUGGUAUUAUUGUACCUGUCCUGGUUGCGCUACUAUUAAACCUGUUGGGCAAAGGC